GAACGGGUGAGUAACACGUAGAUAAUCUAUCCUAUACUGGGGGAUAGCCCGAUGAAAGUUGGAUUAAUACCGCAUAUAGCUAUAUAGUUGCAUGAUUAUGUAGUGAAAGAUUUAUUGGUAUAGGAGGAGUCUGCGGCACAUUAGCUAGUAGGUGAGGUAAAGGCUUACCUAGGCGACGAUGUGUAGCCGGUCUGAGAGGAUGAACGGCCACAAUGGAACUGAGACACGGUCCAUACUCCUACGGGAGGCAGCAGUGGGGAAUAUUGCACAAUGGGGGAAACCCUGAUGCAGCAACGCCGCGUGAGUGAAGAAGGUUUUCGGAUUGUAAAGCUCUGUUAGCAGGGAAGAGGAAGGACGGUACCUGCAGAGGAAGCCACGGCUAACUACGUGCCAGCAGCCGCGGUAAUACGUAGGUGGCAAGCGUUGUUCGGAAUAACUGGGCGUAAAGGAUGCGUAGGCGGUUAAACAAGUUAUAUGUUAAAUAUAUAGGCUUAACCUGUAGAAAGCAUAUAAAACUGUUUAACUAGAGUGCAGGAGAGGUAAGUGGAAUUCCUAGUGUAGCGGUGAAAUGCGUAGAGAUUAGGAAGAACACCAGUGGCGAAGGCGACUUACUGGACUGUAACUGACGCUGAGGCAUGAGAGCAUGGGGAGCAAACAGGAUUAGAUACCCUGGUAGUCCAUGCUGUA
RNAcentral lists this ribosomal RNA (687 nucleotides) under uncultured bacterium. RNAcentral describes it as "bacterial SSU rRNA". It matches the Rfam family "Bacterial small subunit ribosomal RNA", at positions 100 to 804 of the family's 1533-position model. The record is from RNAcentral.